Molecule: ribosomal RNA, 395 nt
Filed under: uncultured bacterium
Lineage: Bacteria
Description: bacterial SSU rRNA
Rfam family: Bacterial small subunit ribosomal RNA
Source: RNAcentral
UAAUACGUAGGGUGCAAGCGUUAAUCGGAAUUACUGGGCGUAAAGCGUGCGCAGGCGGUUUUGUAAGUCUGACGUGAAAGCCCCGGGCUCAACCUGGGAAUUGCGUUGGAGACUGCAAGGCUUGAAUCUGGCAGAGGGGGGUAGAAUUCCACGUGUAGCAGUGAAAUGCGUAGAGAUGUGGAGGAACACCGAUGGCGAAGGCAGCCCCCUGGGUCAAGAUUGACGCUCAUGCACGAAAGCGUGGGGAGCAAACAGGAUUAGAUACCCUGGUAGUCCACGCCCUAAACGAUGUCUACUAGUUGUCGGGUUUUAAUUAACUUGGUAACGCAGCUAACGCGUGAAGUAGACCGCCUGGGGAGUACGGUCGCAAGAUUAAAACUUAAAGGAAUUGACGG